UAACCUUCCCGGGGCUGUCCAUGCCAGCAGCUCCGCGUGAGGGAGGGGCCCGCUCCUGCUUGGUGAGAGAGUCAGCACGCGGUGGCCUGCAGUGUCUUCUGUGGCUUCAGCGUCACCUAGUGCAGGCUGCCAUUCAACAAACGCAUUGUCAACAGUCAACCAAAAGAAACCCAUUGGCCACCAUACCCUGAGGACUAACCCUGACACAGAUGCCCUUCCAGAUGCCCUCAAUAGUCUAACUGAUUCCAUCGCCCCAGCCUUGGGGGAGAAGCACUGCUGCCUAUGCACUCCAUUUACAGGCUAAAAUCACACUCGAUGUUUUUAUGGGAUCAUUUGAUCUGGACAUUGUCAAAGAAAAAAUUGCACCAGACAAGUUAAACCUUCAAGGAAGGACUCAGUCAGGACUACUGCAAUACGGAAGAGAGGAGCUUAACUUCAUUGAAACAAAAGGCUGGAGAGUUUUUAAGUGCCGGGGUGAGAUGCUGAGAAGGAACUGGAGACAUCAGGAAGAGGUUAGGAAAUGCCGUAAAGCUAUCUGCGUUGGCUCAUUGGAAUUUUUCAAAACUGGGAAUCUGCCCUUCUACAAAAACUGAGACACAGAUGUAUCAUCUCCUUCAAUAAUUGCAUUUUAAAGGGAUGGCUCUGAAGUCUUGAGAAAGGCAUUCCUGGGUUGCAAAACUGGGAGGAGGCUAGAAGAAAAUUUGGGAGAUUUGCCUCUCAAAGAGGUAGAGAAAGAACUCACAAUUGCAAGUUUCCUAAAAUAAAUCCUCCGUGAAAAAAGGAGGCCUGAUGGAUGGAACUGGAGGUCAUUAUGUUAAGUGAAAUAAGCCAGGCACAGAAGAAAAAUACUGCAUGUUCUCACUCACAUGUGGGAGCUUAAAACCUGGAUCUCAUGGAGAUA
RNAcentral lists this long non-coding RNA (901 nucleotides) under Pan troglodytes (chimpanzee). RNAcentral describes it as "lincRNA". The record is from RNAcentral. Lineage: Eukaryota; Metazoa; Chordata; Mammalia; Primates; Hominidae.